Molecule: long non-coding RNA, 6006 nt
Filed under: Homo sapiens (human)
Lineage: Eukaryota; Metazoa; Chordata; Mammalia; Primates; Hominidae
Description: HSALNT0343350
Source: RNAcentral
AUUUAUAUUGAAAACAUUCCAUUGUUCCUUGCAGUAUAGAAGGCAAAUGCAAUUAUAGUCUUUAUUAUAGUAGGAGACCAUUUUGUAUUACACACAAACAUGUCUGCUAAUGAACUGAUGAUAUGUUAAAUAAUUAGGUCAUUAUCCUUUAAAAUGGUGUAUAUUAUGAAAAAUACUUAAAAGUUUUCUUUUAUCAUAGUGUUUUAGUGAUGACUGAGAAAAUAGGUUGAGUUUUUUUAAAGGGAGAUGGAUAAGAGCUUUUUCAAAUUUAAGAUAAUGCAAUGUAAGUGUUUGCCACCAAAAAUUAUUAUUCAAGCACACAGGAUAAUGAAAAUUGCUUGUACUUGAAAAGUCGAGUCAGGAAGAAAACUGUGUAGGCAGUUCUUCAAGGGAGAAAGAAAGGGACAAGAUAAAAUGAUAACUAAAAAUUGGACAUAAGAGAGACAGUGUCCAGGAAAGUACAUUUGCAUUAAAAAGUGCAACGGACAGAAAGAUUAGCAACACAUUCAGUGAAGUGGACAUAAAACAAGGCAAGUGGCAGGCAUCCUACCAAGGAACAAACAGAGAACUAAAGCAGUUCAGCACAGUAUGCUGGAAAGAAGAAAUACCGAAAGGGACUGAGCAGUGAAUAGCAAACAGAAGGAGGUGCCUGACAGCAAGAUCUUAGUGAAUACACAGGAGUGACACACAGUGUAUGGGUGGUUAACAAUGUGCUCUUCCAAGGCAGAAAAAGAAAAACAACAGAAUAAAGGGAAAAGGCAUUUAAAAUUUACCUUAGGAUGGGAAAAGUCAUGCGAGGAUGACAUACUAAAAAAUAAGAUUUGCCACUAUAAUCGUAUCAUAUGGAACAAGGAAGAAAACAAGUGAUGGACACUAAAUAAAAAGAGCACUGCAUGGAUUUGGCAACAUUUCAGAGUAACUUAAGUAAACACAGGGCAAAUCAGCUUCACAAUAAGGAAACCCAGAAACAAUGAGGUCAGAAGAACAAGAGCAUAAAUUAAGAAAAGAGUUAUAUGAUUAAAGAUGGACCAAAGAUAUGGAAGGGAAAAAGGGUGAGGUAGAAAAGAAGCAAGUCAGAAGACAACUAUAUGCAUCAGAGUAGAAUAUUAGAAAAAGGCAAAAACAAAAAAGGUGGAGAGGCACCGUAGAUUGAGUAGUAUACUUAAAUGUGAUUCCAAAAAGGAGGAAAGAAGUUCAGAAAUGAGUAGAGGAACUGAGCUGAGACAGGGGAAAGGGAACCAGGAAAUGGAAUUGAAGGGUGCACAUCCACAUCUAGAAAGGGCUGCUCACUGCACCAGAAAGACAGUGGUAAACAGAUUAUAGUGGCACAGGGGCUUCAAAGUGUCAAAGAAGAGAAAAAGAGGUGCAGAAUGGAUUGCCAAAUGAGCUUCCAGGUAGGACUAAGAGAGUCUUUAAGAAAAUCCAAAAAUGAGAUGAAAACAUCCUGAAUAAUAAUGAAAAGAUAGGAAAGAUGCAUGGAUUAACAGUAUGAAGAUAAUGAAAAUACUAUAGUACAGUAAAAAGAAUGCAUGAUGGGGAUAAGAGGAGUGGGGAGUAACUGGAGGCAGUCCUAAAGGUGGAAUCUUGCCACCUGUGUCACAGUAUGUAAACUUCAAGGAUAGGAAAUAUUAAAAUAAGAACAGAAAAUAUUGUACGGGUGUGGAAGCUAUCAGGCCGAUACGAAGGGGGUUUAGAGUAUAGGUCGCUUUCAUGUACUGAAGGGUCAAAGUUUCAAUGUAGAUCUUUAAGAGAAAUCCUUUUCAAGAGUCGGAGGGCGAGUGUGGAGUAGAGAAACGAGGCAUGGGAAGAAUGGGGUGGAAGGAUGCCAGAGGAAGAAAAGGAAAUGUGCAGAAGAAAAGGAAAUGUGCAAAAGAAAGUGCUUCCAUGGGAAGACUACCAGGUUAGUUAGAAUGCGAAAAACACAAAAAAUGCUAAGUAAGAAGUAUAAAAAGCACAUGAAAGAAGUAGUAAAAAAACGAACAAACAAAAACAGGUAUAAAGGGGCAUUCUGGCCCUUCAAAACAAUGAUCUUCAACAGUAAAUGCAAGCACAAGAAGGCUCCAGGCUUGGGAGGCCAAGGUGGGUGGAUCGCUUGAGGUCAGGAGUUCGAGACCAGCCUGGCCAACAUGGCGAAACCCUGUCUCUACUUAAAAAGAAAAAAAUCAGCUGGGCGUGGUGGUGGAUGCCUGUAAUCCCAGCUACUUGGGAGGCUGAGGCAGGAGAAUUGCUUGAAGUCCAGAGGUGAGGGUGCAGUGAGCCGAGAUCGCACCACUGCACUCCAGCCUUGGGCGACAGAGUGAAACUCUUCUCUCAAAAAAAAAAAAAAAGAAGGCUCCAGGCCUCAAACGGGAGACUGAAGUGCAGGGAGUCCAGGUGGCCAUAGGGAGUCAAGGUGGCUGUCCACAUCAGUGAUUCUUAUCUGAGGUGGGGGGUGGGUUUCACCCGAGGGAGGGCUGGGGGCAUGGACCCCCAGGCAGGCCUAUCCAAUCAUCUGAAGGGUGAGCAGUGUUCAGCUCAGAAAAAGUAAAGGAAAAAAAAAGCAAUCUCUAAAAGGAACAUAGACAAUAGCAAAAGAAGAAACCGAGCCCAAAAGAUGCUUCUGAUAGGCCGCCUUGGGGUCCUGCAUCCUCGGGUGAGAAUCACUGGUGGAUGUGGGAGGAUGGAGAGCCGGGCAGAUACGUGGAGUGCGAGGGGAAGACGCACGUGCAGUGGGGCUGAUGGAGGCCAUCAGGGUCAAGACUGUCAGGUGUGGGAACACAGUUCCCGACAGACCAGGACAAGGAUGACAGCUAACAAAUGGAUGUAGCUGAAAAGGCAAUGGGACCACGGUGGUGCAGCUGGGGUUUCCAACGCCUCGGUCCCAGACUCAAGGACUCAGGUGGAGGAGUGAGGCCCAGAGAAGGGCCCAGUGACUCAGAGGAAGUGGGCUGUGCGGGUGAGAGCAGAGAGCAGGGGAUCUGUUGUCACGGGGAGGAAAGGCACAAAGGGGAAUGGAGACAGCGUGGAAGGAGAGCGUCUUGAAGACAUCGGUGCUAAGGAGGGAGGAGGCAGGAGGAGGGUGGGACUGACAGGAGCACCCAGGAGGAGCGGAGGAGCCGGGUCUCAGGCAGGGCGGGAGAGUCAGGUUGAGACUGGGUGCGUUUGUGCUGGCGGGGCAGGGGGAUGAGGGUGGGUAGGUGGAGGCGGGACAGGAGUGAGCGCUGAUGACAAAAGUGCUGUGGUGACAGGAAGAAGGUAGGAAAUUCACAGGCGCAUGUUCCCCAGAGUGUUUUCACAAGAAUGUGAAAGAAAGGAUGCAAAGGGAAUUGAGAAGGUUUUGGGGAGUCAGGGUUGUGGGGUGCUGGAAGGUACCCAUAGCCUGGACCACUGGGAUGUGGACACUGAUAGCUGGGCAGAGCAGGUGGAUUCAGUGCAGUACGUGUGAUGCAGAGAUGACUGCAUCUGGUGGAGCAGCGGGUGCGGGGCCAGGUCAAGAAGGGAGGAGGUACCUGAGUUCACGACUUAGGCCAGUGGGAGAAUCACAGAUUGUGCUGAAAAAAUGCAGGAGGGUGCAGGUGGGACAGUACCGUGCUAUGCAGUAGAGGAGGAAAGCAGGAGAAACGACCAACCUGCGCCCCAGGGGCUGACUGCUGGGACAUCAGGGGAUGAGUUUGCAACACAUGGGAGAGGAGGACAGAGGAGAGGUGUUCCCUAAUGGGCAAGAAGAAUGAGUCGGAGCAGGCAAUGGAGCCCAGCAGCUAAGAGAGGAGAGCCUGUUGAGAGCAGGAGGGAUGCGCUGCAGUAAAGGAGGCAUGCCAGGCGCCAAGAGGGAGGGAGCGGAUGCAGAGAAUCCAGGGACUUUACCCCAGAUGGGGCAAAGUGUGUGACGCAGUUCAUGGAUGACAAAGCAUAGUGUGGGUAAGAUAAGCAAGGAAUGAAAGAGAGGUGGGAGGAGGCCAAGGGAGAAGCAGGGCAUAGAAGUGCUGCUACCUUGGAAACACAGGGGACCACGUGUCAAUGAAGGGUGUGGUGAGAUGAUGAAAGGUCAGGUGGAUUGAGUUCGACAGAGGAAAGGACUGUGUCCGCCAUGGUGGAACAGACAAGGUAGGAUGGUUUCAAACAGCAGAUGGACUCAGUACAGCAUGCUGGGGAUAAAGAGGCUGUGGCAAUGGUGGCAGCAGUGAGGGUAGGGAAGGAAGAAUUGGAUGCUGAAGACGAAGUGGAGGGUGUCUGGAAGAGAACAGUGGGAGAAAAUGGGUGGAUGAGUGAUGCAAGGUUUUAAUGUGAAUCCUGAGGAGAAAAAGAGAGACGUGGGAGUGGGGCAGCCAUUUGAGGUGGCAUAUGGGAUGCAUGUUGGGUCACGUAAGUGAAUAGGAAAAGAAAGGGACUGAAAGCAUUUAACAGGAGACAACCUCACAAAUCUGUGGGGGUGAUGAAUGCUGGUCAAGGGGCCAAGGUGGAAAAGUGAGGGGAAUGCAGAGUUCUCAAACUGGGGCACUGACAGAUCUCAUGUGAAAAGUUGGUUUCAUGACCGUCAUCAAGGCCAGACUGUAGGAUCAGAGCAGAUGCAAGAGCCCAGGAAUAUGCGGAACUAGGUCCACAGGAGAAUGUGGGGGAUGGGGACAAAUGACUCAGGUUAAAUGAAGGAAAUAGCAUCACUGCAUGGUAAGAUGGCACUGGGCAUGGUAACCUCAGGGACUUGGCAAUGGACUCGUGGUUUGAGUCUAUUGUGUGGGUAGAAAGAUGCUUGCAAAUAGUGGAGGAGUAGUUAGGAACCAAUGCAGAGGAAGCAAUUCAGAAUGAUCACUGAAUCUGAGCUUCUGCUGUCACGGAAGGCUAAAAGGAUAGAGAUAUAGCUUACAGCUGAAAGUAUGUACAUAGAGAUGAAAUAAAGUAGGCAAGGGAGAGUCUCAAACACAGUGGGUCUCGUAGUUGUAAUGGGAGUUUAGAUCAGUAUCAGCUGGGUACAUGGGACAGAGUAUGGCCAAGGACUGGAGAGAGCUGGGGUGUUUGGUGCUGGAGUGUGGACUUCAUUUAUGGAAAACUUCAUCUAGAGGAAAACAGGAGGAAAAGCAGAGGAGGACAGAGAGUGGGACCUAUGUAAGAAGGUCUUAAAUUCUACACACGGGUGUUGUGAAGGUAGUGCAACCAAGAGGGAAAGAAGAAAUGAGUGACCUGGACAGCCUGAAUGGGUAACGAAAGGGUAGAUGUGAUGGGCAGGGAUGCAUCAGCUCACUGGGGCCGCACCUGAGGUAAAUGGAAAUAAAGGAGGUGAGGAAAGGAGGAAGAGAAGGAAGUGGCGGGACUGGCUGUGGAGUUUUGUGGGAGCCUUCUUGAUGGGACAGAAAGAAAAAAGAGGAGAAAAGGCUGGAGUGUAAGAGGGGAAGGAAAAGGCAGCCUAAGGGAAGGCGCUGGCCUGAAUCAGUGGAAGAUCUGGAGGAGCAACAGAAAACAGUUCUUGAAGAGAAGGUGGGAUAGAGAGAGGAAGGAAAAGUUUGAGCGGUGAGGAGAGCAGGUCAAAGUAGUGAGCACAUCCCUAUGGAGAAGAGAUGACUGAGCCCGAUGAAGCAAUAGGCCCUGGGUGGUUGAGAGAAAUAUGGGCCACAGACAGGCAGGUACCUUCCCUUGGCCAAGGAAGCAAGGAGAAGAAAUGUGGACGCAAGGGGAAAGGCUUCAAGAAAGAAUGUGGAAGUGGGACGAUAAGGCAGCGCAACGGGGGAGUCACCUACAGAAGACAGGGUGGAGGGGCCCCCAGGGAAGGAUGGAGGGCAGAAAGCGUGGUGGAAGGGAGCUGGGCAGGACAGCCACAGGCAGGACAGCCAUAGGUGGAGUGAGGUGAAGGGGCAGGUCCCAGAGUAGGAACAAAGGAAUUUGGAGUGCUCAGAGCAGCCUGCAAGGUUCGGCAUAGGGAACGGAAAGUGUAAAAGGGGUGGACAGCAAUAGACAGGAAGGAAUGGCUGUUUUUAAAGCCUUGAACUUUGUUGCAAAGGUGUGAAUCUUGGGCCAGGCUCUUUACUACGGAUCCGG